This 66-nucleotide transfer RNA is filed under the name Marmota monax (woodchuck). RNAcentral's name for it is "tRNA.Ala". The record is from RNAcentral. Lineage: Eukaryota; Metazoa; Chordata; Mammalia; Rodentia; Sciuridae.
GGAUGUGGCUCAGAGGUAGAGCACCUGCCUAGCACGGCGAGACCCUGGGUUCAAUCCUCAGCACCA